UACGGGGGGAGCAAGCGUUGUUCGGAUUUACUGGGCGUAAAGGGCGCGUAGGCGGCCACCGCAAGUCGACUGUGAAAUCUCCGGGCUUAACUCGGAAAGGUCAGCCGAUACUGCGGGGCUAGAGUGCAGAAGGGGCAACUGGAAUUCUCGGUGUAGCGGUGAAAUGCGUAGAUAUCGAGAGGAACACCUGCGGCGAAGGCGGGUUGCUGGGCCGAUACUGACGCUGAGGAGCGAAAGCGUGGGGAGCGAACAGG
RNAcentral lists this ribosomal RNA (254 nucleotides) under uncultured bacterium. RNAcentral's name for it is "partial 16S ribosomal RNA". It matches the Rfam family "Bacterial small subunit ribosomal RNA", at positions 524 to 776 of the family's 1533-position model. The record is from RNAcentral.